AGCUAGAUGGCCGAGUUGGUAGGCAAUAAAUUGUAAAUUUAUGAACGGAUAUAAGAAUCCUCUAGCUA
Molecule: transfer RNA, 68 nt
Filed under: Lysmata debelius (fire shrimp)
Lineage: Eukaryota; Metazoa; Arthropoda; Malacostraca; Decapoda; Hippolytidae
Description: tRNA-Tyr
Rfam family: tRNA
About the family: Transfer RNA (tRNA) molecules are approximately 80 nucleotides in length.
Source: RNAcentral